Molecule: ribosomal RNA, 252 nt
Filed under: uncultured bacterium
Lineage: Bacteria
Description: partial 16S ribosomal RNA
Rfam family: Bacterial small subunit ribosomal RNA
Source: RNAcentral
UACAGAGGUCCCAAGCGUUGUUCGGAUUCACUGGGCGUAAGGGUGCGUAGGCGGUCGGGUAAGUCUGAUGUGAAAUCUCCAAGCUCAACUUGGAAAUGGCAUCGGAUACUAUUCGGCUCGAGGAAUGGAGGGGAGACUGGAAUACUUGGUGUAGCAGUGAAAUGCGUAGAUAUCAAGUGGAACACCAGUGGCGAAGGCGAGUCUCUGGACAUUUCCUGACGCUGAGGCACGAAAGCCAGGGGAGCAAACAGG